This is a non-coding RNA of Schistosoma curassoni, 78 nucleotides long. The record is from Rfam. NCBI's taxonomy places the organism in Eukaryota, Metazoa, Platyhelminthes, Trematoda, Strigeidida, Schistosomatidae.
AGAUUUCUGAAUCCGUACCGAGAUUUCAUCAGAUACCAGACUAUUAAGACUGAUGAGACUCCCAAGAUAAGUAAAACG